RNAcentral lists this long non-coding RNA (231 nucleotides) under Gallus gallus (chicken). Lineage: Eukaryota; Metazoa; Chordata; Aves; Galliformes; Phasianidae. The record is from RNAcentral.
AGCUGGGCUGCCUUGCUCUCCUGUGCCGUUCAAGCAGGGUGGGGGAGUGCUGCUCCUGGGGAGGCGGGUGUAGGUCUUCUACCCGUGCUGAUUUGCAGGCAGUGCUCCUCAAGGUAUUGGUGAAAAGACAUGGCUGUCAGGUGAAGUUCCUGGUGACUGGAAAAAAGGCAGUGUCACACCCAUGUUUAAGGAGGAUAGAAAGGAUGACCUGGGGAGCUACCAAUCUGUCAG